UAGGGGGCAAGCGUUAUCCGGAUUUACUGGGUGUAAAGGGAGCGUAGACGGCAGGGCAAGUCUGGAGUGAAAGGCCGGGGCCCAACCCCGGGACUGCUCUGGAAACUGUCCGGCUGGAGUACAGGAGAGGUAAGUGGAAUUCCUAGUGUAGCGGUGAAAUGCGUAGAUAUUAGGAGGAACACCAGCGGCGAAGGCGGCUUACUGGACUGUAACUGACGUUGAGGCUCGAAAGCGUGGGGAGCAAA
This 245-nucleotide ribosomal RNA is filed under the name uncultured bacterium. RNAcentral's name for it is "partial 16S ribosomal RNA". It matches the Rfam family "Bacterial small subunit ribosomal RNA", at positions 528 to 772 of the family's 1533-position model. The record is from RNAcentral.